AUGCAAACCACAAAAGGAUGCACUUGUUCGCUUGGUGGGAAAUGUGUAUCCCCAAGAAAAGGAAGAACGGGAUUUGGGGACAUUCAUUGCUUUAGUCUCACACUUCUUGCUAAACAGGCAUGGCGAUUGAUAGAUAAUCCUGAUUCUUUAUGUAUGACAAUUUUGAAAGUGAAAUAUUUUCCGGAUGAUGACUUAAUUAAUGCCACUUUGAAAAAGAAAUCCUGCUACACCUGGCAAAGUGCGAUGGCGAGAGUUAACACGAUCAAGUGUGCUCAUAUUUGGAGGGUUGGUAAUGGAGAAAAAACAAAUAUAUGGGAAGAUUCCUGCAUACCACAAUCCCCUACAAAAAUGGUACUUACUAGUAGAUGUAAUCAUCUCAUCUCACAGGUGUGUGAUCUGAUUGACCCAUCCACUGGAGAGUGGGACGUUCAACUCUGUGUUGAUGCCCAAAUAAUCAUAUCAUUACCCCUUAUGAUGCAUGAAACUAGAAAUUUUGUUUCUUAG
This 504-nucleotide ribosomal RNA is filed under the name Triticum aestivum (bread wheat). Its description in RNAcentral is "partial small subunit ribosomal RNA". The record is from RNAcentral. Lineage: Eukaryota; Viridiplantae; Streptophyta; Magnoliopsida; Poales; Poaceae.